RNAcentral lists this ribosomal RNA (464 nucleotides) under uncultured Klebsiella sp. RNAcentral's name for it is "bacterial SSU rRNA". It matches the Rfam family "Bacterial small subunit ribosomal RNA", at positions 338 to 795 of the family's 1533-position model. The record is from RNAcentral. Lineage: Bacteria; Pseudomonadati; Pseudomonadota; Gammaproteobacteria; Enterobacterales; Enterobacteriaceae.
CCUACGGGUGGCAGCAGUGGGGAAUAUUGCACAAUGGGCGCAAGCCUGAUGCAGCCAUGCCGCGUGUGUGAAGAAGGCCUUCGGGUUGUAAAGCACUUUCAGCGGGGAGGAAGGCGUUAAGGUUAAUAACCUUGGCGAUUGACGUUACCCGCAGAAGAAGCACCGGCUAACUCCGUGCCAGCAGCCGCGGUAAUACGGAGGGUGCAAGCGUUAAUCGGAAUUACUGGGCGUAAAGCGCACGCAGGCGGCUGGCAAGUCGGAUGUGAAAUCCCCGGGCUCAACCUGGGAACUGCAUUCGAAACUGGCAGGCUAGAGUCUUGUAGAGGGGGGUAGAAUUCCAGGUGUAGCGGUGAAAUGCGUAGAGAUCUGGAGGAAUACCGGUGGCGAAGGCGGCCCCCUGGACAAAGACUGACGCUCAGGUGCGAAAGCGUGGGGAGCAAACAGGAUUAGAUACCCGGGUAGUC